RNAcentral lists this ribosomal RNA (502 nucleotides) under uncultured bacterium. RNAcentral's name for it is "bacterial SSU rRNA". It matches the Rfam family "Bacterial small subunit ribosomal RNA", at positions 28 to 518 of the family's 1533-position model. The record is from RNAcentral.
GACGAACGCUGGCGGCGUGCCUAACACAUGCAAGUCGAACGGAGAUUCAGAAGAAGCCUAGCGAUUCUGAGUCUUAGUGGCGGACGGGUGAGUAACGCGUGGGUAAUCUGCCCUUGAGUGGGGGAUAACAGUCGGAAACGACUGCUAAUACCGCAUACACUACCGGAGACACAUGUACUCGGUAGCAAAGGUGGCCUCUUAACAAUGCUACCGCUUAAGGAUGAGCCCGCGUCUGAUUAGCUAGUAGGUGGGGUAAAGGCCUACCUAGGCGACGAUCAGUAGCCGGCCUGAGAGGGUGUACGGCCACACUGGAACUGAGACACGGCCCAGACUCCUACGGGGGCAGCAGUGGGGGAUCUUGCACAAUGGGCGAAAGCCUGAUGCAGCGACGCCGCGUGAGCGAAGAAGGCCUUCGGGUUGUAAAGACUCUGUCUGGAGGGACGAACAAAAGUGACGGUACCUCCGGAGGAAGGCCACGGCUAACUACGUGCCAGCAGCCGAC